Oncorhynchus keta (chum salmon) is the source of this 842-nucleotide long non-coding RNA. RefSeq lists it as uncharacterized. The transcript has 3 exons. The record is from RefSeq and is a predicted model, not a curated record. NCBI's taxonomy places the organism in Eukaryota, Metazoa, Chordata, Actinopteri, Salmoniformes, Salmonidae.
AAUAAAUGUGAAAUAAUAACAUCUCAUUACACCUGUAAGUGUAGACGCUGGUGCUCAAUGUCAACAGUUACAUCACACAGUACAGGACUUACUGCAGUCACACCAGAACAGGUCAGUAGAGUAAGGUGGUUAUAGUACAGGACUUACUGCAGUCACACCAGAACAGGUCAGUAGAGUUAGGUGGUUAUAGUACAGGACUUACCGCAGUCACACCAGAACAGGUCAGUAGAGUUAGGUGGUUAUAGUACAGGACUUACUGCAGUCACACCAGAACAGGUCAGUAGAGUUAGGUGGUUAUAGUACAGGACUUACUGCAGUCACACCAGAACAGGUCAGUAGAGUAAGGUGGUUAUAGUACAGGACUUACUGCAGUCACACCAGAACAGGUCAGUAGAGUUAGGUGGUUAUAGUACAGGACUUACUGCAGUCACACCAGAACAGGUCAGUAGAGUUAGGUGGUUAUAGUACAGGACUUACUGCAGUCACACCAGAACAGGUCAGUAGAGUUAGGUGGUUAUAGUACAGGACUUACUGCAGUCACACCAGAACAGGUCAGUAGAGUUAGGUGGUUAUAGUACAGGACUUACUGCAGUCACACCAGAACAGGUCAGUAGAGUUAUGUGGUUAUAGUACAGGACUUACUGCAGUCACACCAGAACAGGUCAGUAGAGUUAGGUGGUUAUAGUACAGGACUUACUGCAGUCACACCAGAACAGGUCAGUAGAGUUAGGUUGUUAUGUCUCUAUUGACAUAAAGCUCUAGUCCACCUUGGUUGGAAUAAUGGCAUCGAUGGAAAGUUUGAUAUUUCUUCACAAAGGCACUCUAUAUCAUACAUUUAGCCU